UGGUGAUGAGAAAGGUGCAGAGGAUGCAGCUCAUAGAGCCCGACAAAAGCAGCAUUUGGUCUUCACUGCCGCAGUCUCGGGUUGGGUGCUGUUUGGGGUAGUGCUGACUUGUAUAGUCACUUCCCAGCUGAGGAAGAGAAAACAAGAAGCGGUACCAGCUAACCCUGCCGCUGCCUCUGACGGAGAAGAGCCCAGUAUGGAGGAAGGCAGAGCACAGCCAGGAAGCGAAAGAAAAAAGGAUGAGUUUACUCUAGAAAAUGAAAAUCCCAGCAGCAGCUCCACUCGGCUUCCUAUUCUAAGCAGAAUAAAAAACCUGUGCAUAUUCUGAAGAGAAUAAAAAACCUGUUGGGCUAAAUGGUGUUAA
Dromaius novaehollandiae (emu) is the source of this 364-nucleotide long non-coding RNA. RefSeq lists it as uncharacterized. The transcript is spliced from 2 exons. The record is from RefSeq and is a predicted model, not a curated record. NCBI's taxonomy places the organism in Eukaryota, Metazoa, Chordata, Aves, Casuariiformes, Dromaiidae.